UGCAUCUCACCAUAUCACACCAUAUAAAGAGUGCUUGUUUAAUCCCUUACAACUUGAGGGUUGUGAGAGAAAUAAGGUCCAAGUACCUACAUGUGGUAGAUGUGAAGUUACACACAAAGGAACAACUGUCAUACUGUGAGAUCAUAGGCUUAAGAAUGUUCUAUAUGUUCCUGAUUUUAAGUACAACUUGUUGUCAGUGUCAAAGAUGACAAAAGAUCUCUGCUGCUCAGUAUGUUUUUACCCAGAUUUUUGUGUUUUCUAGGACCUUUACUCUGGCAAGGUCUUAGGGAUUGGUAGAGAAAACAAUGGUUUAUACGUGCUGAAGGAUGACGCAACAAGACAUCCUGUAGUAGGUUCAACAAUUUAUAAAGAAGUUGAUGGUGCAAUGUGGCAUAUGAUAUUAGACCAUCUAUCCAUUAGUAUUCCAAGUUGCAUUCCCAUUAUUCAGAAUGAAAGAGAAGCACACAAACUAUGUGAGAUGUGCCUAUUAUCCAAGCAAACAAGGUCACAGUUUCCUGUUAGUAACUCACAUUCUAAUAGCAUUUUGCAGUUGAUACAUGUUGAUGUAUGGGGUCCUUUUAAGGUUUCCACUUAUGACAGAAAAUAUUACUUUGUUACCAUUGUUGAUGACUAUAGUAGAUAUACGUGGACAUGUUUGGUUCAGUAUAAGUCUGAAGUGAUUGUUGUUCUGAAAGAUUUUUUGUUAAAAGUAAAGAAUCAGUUUGGUACUACUGUGAAGACAUUAAGAUUAGACAAUGGUAGAGAGUUUUUCAAUUCUCAGUGUUCUGAUUUACUUUCAUCCUUAGGCAUUAUUCAUCAAAGCUCUUGUCCAUACACACCCCAACAAAAUGGGAUGGUGGAGAGAAAACAUAGACACAUUCUUGAGGUAGCUAGAGCUCUUAAAUUUUAGAGUUCCAUCCCUAAUAGUUUCUGGGGAGAUUGUGUUAUAACUGCAACAUAUCUUAUAAAUAAAUUGCCUACACCAAUUUUGCAAGGAAAGUCUUCUUAUACAAUUUUAUAUAAGAAACCUGUAGUAUAUGAUCACUUAAGGGUCUUUGGUUGCUUAUGUUUUGCAUCUACUUUACCUAAAGAAGAUAAGUUUGAACCAAGAUCCAAAAGAGCAGUUUUUAUUGGUUAUUUUGAGACUCAAAGGAAUAUAAGUUAUUUGAUCUUCAACAGAACACAUGUUGGGUCAGUAGAGAUAUGGUAUUCAGAGAGGACGUCUUUCCUUUAAAGGGAAUCACAUAUGAAGGAACCACUAUUUUUUAUGUUCCACACUCUGUCAAUGAUCAUCACCAUCCUGACCCUUCUCCAAUACCCAUGCCUGCAUCAUAUGCCCCUGUAUAUAAUAAUCCUGCUAGCUUUUCUGGUGUUCCAGAAGUUGCAAAUAAUACGCAACAUUCUACAGUUGAAGCUGAUGAAGUGUCACCAGUGGAACAUUCAUUUCCACCUGUUCCACACCCAGCAGACUUGAGAAGGACAACAAGGAGUGCCAAUCUGCCAAUAUGGUUAAAGGAUUAUGUAACUACUAAAUCUGGUGGUAAGUCUGGAGGUGUGACCCUUUAUUCUAUCUCAGAUGUGUUGUCUUAUGAUAAUGUCUCACCAGCAUACCAAGCCUAUCUGCAAGCCUUUUUAGCUCAAAUUGAACCACAAAAUCUUAAAGAAGCCGCAAAAAAUGAACACUGGAUUAAGGCUAUGUAGCUUGAAAUUCAAGCCUUGGAGGAAAAUCAGACUUGGGACCUGGUCCCUCUGCCACCAGGGAAACAUGCCAUAGGUUUUAAAUGGGUAUACAAGAUUAAAUAUAAAGCUGAUGGAAGCAUUAAAAGAUACAAGUCUAGAUUAUUUGCGAAGGAUACAAUGAGCAGGAAGGUUUGGAUUAUCAUGAUACCUUCUCACCUGUUGCUAAAAUUAUGACAGUCAGAGCUGUGAUAAGCCUGGCAGCCUCCAAGAAGUGGGACAUCUUCCAAAUGGAUGUAAAUAAUGCUUUCCUACAAGGAGAUCUUUAUGAAGAUGUAUACAUGGAAUUGCCUCAAGGAUUUCAGAGACAAGGAAGUAAACUGGUAUGCAAACUGAAAAAAUAUUAUAUGGACUCAAACAGGCUUCCAGAUAGUGAAAUAUUAAGCUCACAAAUGCAUUAAUUGCUGGUGGCUAUACACAAAGCAGCUAUUAUCACUCACUAUUUAUUCAGAGAUCAGGAUAUGAUAUUGUAGUGGUCUUGGUUUAUGUUGAUGAUCUGCUUAUCACAAGGAGUAACUCUACUCUAAUUUAGCAUGCAAAAGACACAUUGAACAAGGCAUUCAAGGUGAAAGACUUGGGCCAAUUAAGAUUCUUCUUGGGGAUUGAAGUACUCAGGUCUGACAAAGGUAUAUUUCUCAACCAAAGAAAGUAUGUGUCGGAACUGAUCUCACAAAUUAGCCUGAGUGGGUGAAAACCAUCUCCAACACCAUUAGAGGUCAAUAAGAAAUUAACUUCUAUAGAGUAUGACCUCCAAGUUGGUCCAUCUGAUGAUCCAGAAAUAGAUGACAUACUUGGUUAUCAAAAGCUGGUUGGAAAAUUGUUUUACCUCACUAUUACAAGGCCAUACAUUUGCUUUGCAGUACAAACAUUAACCCAAUUUAUGCAGAGACCUAAAAAGUCUCACAUGGAUGGUGCACUAAGGGUGGUGAGGUAUCUGAAGGGUAAUCCUGGACUUGGAAUUUUACUUAAAGAAGAUGAGAUCACAUCUAUGACUGACUUCUGUGACUCUGAUUGGGCAUCUUGUCCCAACACUAGAAGCUCAGUUUCAGGGUAUAUAGUCAUGAUGGGUGAUUCUUUGGUUUCUUGGAAAUCUAAGAAACAACAUACAGUGAGCAGAAGCUCAGUAGAAGCUGAGUAUAAGAGCAUGGCAGGUGCAACUGCUGAAGUGAUAUGGCUGACUGGUUUAUUGCCAGAGCUUGGAGUGACCUUAACCAUGCCUGUGAAGUUGUUUUGUGAUAAUAAAGCUGCACUACAAAUUGCUGCUAAUCCUAUUUUUCAUGAGAGAACUAAGCACAUAGAAAUCGAUUGUUAUUUUGUCAGAGAAAGAAUCAAAUCAGGUUUACUGCAACCAGUUCAUGUCCCCUCCAACAUUCAACUAGCUGAUCUCAUGACUAAAGGACUUCCAGCAGCUCAACAUCAGUUUCUUCUUUCCAAGCCGAGAGUCCUUGAUGUUUUCCGGUCACCAGCUUGAGGGGGAGUAAAGAGACUAGUCAGUUAGAUUGUUGUAGUUUGUUAGAAAAAGAGUGGUGUACAGCUGGUGUACAACUGUCAAGUUAGUGGAGUUGGAUGUUAGUGGAGUCGGUUAUUUUUCUAAAUAAGUAGCAAUUGCAUCACUAACAAUGUAAUCAGAACAAAUCAUUUUUCAAUCAAUAAAGCUUGUUCAUUCCUCUAAGAACCAUAUCAACGAACUUGGUUCAAUAGCUCUAGGGAUUUUAUCAAGCUACGUAUUUACCAUGUUAGAAAAAGCUUGAAGACUAUACUUCACAGGAAAAUGACGGUGCGAAUAAUAGUAUAUUUCCAUAGUAUCUGAGUCAGUGGACUCAGAUAUACCAGCAAUCGGUCGUUGGUCCCUUGGUUGAAAGCACUAAUUUAUAUAUUUAUUUAUUUAUAAGUUAAUGGUCAGAAAUAUAUUAAAAUUAUUAUAGAUUUUUCAAAAACUUUUAUACCUCAUUCAUUGUUUCAUUUACUUAUCUAAACAGUCACUACUAUCUUAAAACACACUUCAAUGUUGAGUUAAUCAAAUAUUUGAUCCAUAUAGUUGAGGUAUGGACUGUACGAAAAGAUGAUAUUUAAGUAGGGGAAUAGAAAAAUGGAUAGUUGAAAUGUGAAACUGGCGAAAAAGUGAUGUUUAAACAUUAUUUUUAAUUACAUUUAUGAAAACGAAUAAUUCGGUAUGGCUAUAAAUUUAUAUAGAAACUUAUAAUUUUCCUUAACCCCGCCCCCCCCCCCCGCGGCCCCCUCUAAAUAAUUGGUUUGAUUUAAUUCGACAGGUUAAAGUCGAUUUUUAGAAAAUCAUUUAACACUCUAGGAAGUAUUAGGUAAUGCUUUAUUUUCAAAGACGUAUAUCCUCCAAAGAGCUUUAUUCAUAUUUUACUUAACGAGGUACUAUGAAGAUAUGAAAGAGAUCAAAAGGAAAUUAUAUAUGUGCGUAUAAAUAGCUGCGUGUAACCAACCACUUGGAUACUGGGGCAUUGAGAAGCAAGGAUACUUCCAUAAGCAAAAAGUCAUAUUGUCUGUGAUAUAUGAAUCUAAAGCAAAAAGUCAUGUUGUCCGUGAUAUAUGAAUCUAAUGGUAGAAAAUAAUAUCUGUGAUAUAUGAAUCUGAUGGUAGAAAAAUAAUCUAAUAUUGAAUACCCAUUAGAAACGUCUAUUAGAAAAUGACAAAAGACAGCCCAAAAGAACAAAUAAAAACUCAAGACUUAUUCUUUUACGCGUAAUAUUUGAUGAUUCAUGUGUGAUGCGGGAUGUUUUCUUUCCUGCUCUCGAAUUCUAUUGGGAGCUUUCAAGAGGAGCGGAACUAGCAUAUAAUUAGGGGUGCAGAUGAAUUCUUUCGAUGAAAAAUUAUAUUUUAGGAUGAAAAUUACUUUUUAUAAAUAUAUAACAGGGUAUGCAUGCAGAAUUUUAAUUCACUUAAUGAGUGAAAUAACCAUCAUCAUACCAAUAGUAUGGAUCAUCAUUACUAUUCACAUAUGAAUAGUCAUGAAUAAACCAUUGUUCUUGAACAGGAUAAUCUAUAAUUUUUUCAAGAAAAUCUUUAUUUAAUUUUAUCACCUUUAAAAUAGUGAUUAAAGUUUUUUCAUCUAAGAAAAUGGUAUAAUAACUCAUUAUACAAUAUAAAGAGUAAAUUUCUUUAUUAAAAGUUUGAUGCUUUUAUGCUGAAAUUCUCGUAUUUCUUUUCGCAUACGAGUUUUAUCAAGAGACCUGAAUAACAGUAUUUUUAAUCUGUUAAUUUCAGAAAUAUUUGAAGUACUUUUCAAUCGAUAGAUUUUUUGAUAAUAGUAUUUUAAUUUUGUUAUAUCUCUGUUAAGAGCUUCUAUGCUUGUUUUGGUUUCCCAAAAUCUUUUUCUAAGAUUCUUUAGUAGUGGUUGUACCACUCUCAUGAUGAUAAAUAUAGAUAAUUCAUGAUUUUAAUAUUCCCUAUAGGUACUUAGUAACACAUAAUAUGUAUGAGUGUACAAAGUAGAUAUGAAUAAAAAAUUUUCUUAUGUUAAUAUGUUCAUGAAAUGAUAGAGUUUAUACGUAUACCUUUUUGACUUUCUUUUAUAUUGGCUGUAUCAACAUCGUAGUGCUUCUCCUUCCGGCUAUGAAGAAUUAUUUAGCCUAUUGCGACUCACUGUCUCAGGCUAUUGUGCCGUUCUUCCUCCGUCGAGGCUGAAGAUUGCAACCUUCAUUUAUCACCAACAUAUAGAAAUGACAAAAGAUAUAUAAAACAAACUUUUUAUUUCAUGAAUAUAUUACAACACAGGAAAAAUCUUUAAUCAGAUCUUCCUUAUACUCACACACAAACUAUUUGUUACUUUUCCCUCGCGGGAGAAGUGUUUCUCACUCACUCAUAUAGAAGAUACCUAGUAUUUUCUAAGAAAGAGAUAUUCAGA
Molecule: long non-coding RNA, 5611 nt
Filed under: Capsicum annuum
Lineage: Eukaryota; Viridiplantae; Streptophyta; Magnoliopsida; Solanales; Solanaceae
Description: long non-coding RNA (CANN_LNC005546)
Source: RNAcentral